AUUGAACGCUGGCGGCAGGCUUAACACAUGCAAGUCGAGCGAGCGGCGGACGGGUGAGUAAUGUCUGGGAAACUGCCAGAUGGAGGGGGAUAACUACUGGAAAAGGUAGCUAAUACCUCAUACCAUCAGAUGUGCCCAGAUGGGAUUAGCUAGUCGGUGGGGUAAUGGAUCACCUAGGCGACGAUCCCUAGCUGGUCUGAGAGGAUGACAAGCCACACUGGAACGGAGACACGGUCCAAGCUGCUACGGGAGGCAGCAGUGGGGAAUAUUGCACAAUGGGCGCAAGCCUGAUGCAGCCAGGCCGCGUGUGUGAAGAAGGCCUUCGGGUUGUAAAGCACUUUCAGCGAGGAGGCGUUACUCGCAGAAGAAGCACCGGCUAACGCCGUGCCAGCAGCCGCGGUAAUUC
RNAcentral lists this ribosomal RNA (406 nucleotides) under uncultured bacterium. Its description in RNAcentral is "partial 16S ribosomal RNA". It matches the Rfam family "Bacterial small subunit ribosomal RNA", at positions 30 to 526 of the family's 1533-position model. The record is from RNAcentral.